UUUUUUUUGUUCAAUGGCUGUUUCCUUUUUGAAAGUCUUUUAUGAUGAUUAUUUUAAUAUCAUCAAAAAAAUAUUCAUACUAUGAGCAUACAGUUUGAUUUAUAUUACAAAUUGCCACUUUUUCAUAAUAACCAAAAGACAAAGUAGAAAGCACAGGCUUCAAACGACACAUGAAACGCCAGUGUCCUCAACUAAGAAAAGAUUCAUGAAUUUG
Molecule: long non-coding RNA, 214 nt
Filed under: Mytilus galloprovincialis (Mediterranean mussel)
Lineage: Eukaryota; Metazoa; Mollusca; Bivalvia; Mytilida; Mytilidae
Source: RNAcentral